RNAcentral lists this long non-coding RNA (346 nucleotides) under Gossypium raimondii (Peruvian cotton). RNAcentral describes it as "long non-coding RNA (GRAI_LNC004961)". The record is from RNAcentral. Lineage: Eukaryota; Viridiplantae; Streptophyta; Magnoliopsida; Malvales; Malvaceae.
GAAUUUUCAAACAUAAACUUGAAAUCCACGAAGAAUGUUGAAGAAAAAUCAUUUAUAACUUACAGAUUUUAUAAUUUAGUAAACGUAUAAUCGACAAUGGGUGUGUGGUCAGCUGAAAUUAAAAGCAAUAAAGAUUUGUUGGAGAAGGUUUUCAGCCAAGACUGACCCCAAUCUCCAUCCUUAUCAGGACAAGGGUUCUAGAAGAGCAAUUUGAAGCAAGUUAACCGAAAGGGUGACAUAUGGUGGGGGUGUGGAUAUUUUGUCAUUUUCGUUAGCUAAAGGGAUUCCUCCAACGCCUUCAAUUUGACAAAAGGGACAGUGGCCCCCUAUUGCAGAACAGCAAUGC